Molecule: ribosomal RNA, 450 nt
Filed under: uncultured bacterium
Lineage: Bacteria
Description: bacterial SSU rRNA
Rfam family: Bacterial small subunit ribosomal RNA
Source: RNAcentral
GUGGGGAAUUUUGCGCAAUGGGCGAAAGCCUGACGCAGCGACGCCGCGUGUGCGAUGAAGGCCUUUGGGUCGUAAAGCACUGUCGACCGGGACGAAAACUCACGGGCUAAUACCUCGUGAGCUUGACGGUACUGGUAAAGGAAGCACCGGCUAACUCUGUGCCAGCAGCCGCGGUAAUACAGAGGGUGCAAACGUUGCUCGGAAUUAUUGGGCGUAAAGCGCGUGUAGGCGGUUCGUUAAGUCGGUUGUGAAAACCCAUGGCUCAACCAUGGAAGUGCGGCUGAAACUGGCGAACUGGAGUCCUGACGAGGAUGGCGGAAUUCCCAGUGUAGAGGUGAAAUUCGUAGAUAUUGGGAGGAACACCGGUGGCGAAGGCGGCCAUCUGGGCAGGCACUGACGCUGAGACGCGAAAGCGUGGGGAGCAAACAGGAUUAGAAACCCGAGUAGUCC